GCCAGAAGCUGUAUCACCCUGCAACUCAAAACUGGGAACUUACUGAGGCUAAGCAGGGGUGAACCUGGCCAGUACUUGAAUGGGAGACCUCGUGGGGAAAGCUAAGGUUGCUGCUGGAA
This 119-nucleotide ribosomal RNA is filed under the name Lepisosteus oculatus (spotted gar). Lineage: Eukaryota; Metazoa; Chordata; Actinopteri; Semionotiformes; Lepisosteidae. The record is from RNAcentral.